UCAGACACUGAUUCACCCGGGGGGAAGCCGUGAUUUGAGGAUGACCCAUCCAUCAUUUCUGACGUAGGAAGAGGCUUGCGACGACCGGGGGAAACUGGAGCGGCUGUCAAGAUUAAAAGCAGAUAAUACAGAAGGUGAAGCAGAGGUCCUGUGCUUUCUGGUGACUACAAAUACUAAGCAAAAUGGCUUUUUCUUUCCAAUUGUGCUUUGGCACGGACGACAUAUGGUUGGAAGUGACUUUGCCGAGUUUUCAAGAAAUUAUUUUGCAAAGCGAUAACACACCAGAAGAUGGAAAGAUCUAUGUUAUGUACCACGGCACCACGGCUGAUGCAGCUGCUGCAAUUAUCAGGAAUGGAUUUUGCCAAUCAAAAGACGGCAUGUUAGGUAGAGGGGUCUAUGUUAGCAGAGAUAAAAACAAAGCAGCUAGGUAUCCUCUGGGUAAUAAAAGUGAUCAGGUUAUUUUAAAACUUCGAGUAAACGUAGGAAAGGUUAAGAAGAUUGAUUGCAAGAACCAUUCUAUGCAGAAGACUUGGCAUGAUAAGGGGUAUGAUACCGCCUGGGUACCUAAAUCCUGCGGUAUGGUUGGCAGUGGGCUAGAGGAAGAUUGUAUAUGGGAUCCCAAGAGAAUCAAGGUUGUAGGCAUUGAAAAGGCCCCAUGCGGGAAGAUGACAUAUCUGCAGCAAUUACUUUUUUAAUUUAGAAAAGGGAAAUACAUAGUGAUUCCAUGUGUCAUUAAAGUGGAAAUGAUACUAUUUUCUAUCACCCCAUUUUCUGAAUGUUUGCUCCUGACUUUAUUUUGAAAAAUGUUGUUUUGUUCAAUAAACAUUUAAGAAGCA
This is a long non-coding RNA of Bombina bombina (fire-bellied toad), 836 nucleotides long. RefSeq lists it as uncharacterized. The transcript is spliced from 3 exons. The record is from RefSeq and is a predicted model, not a curated record. NCBI's taxonomy places the organism in Eukaryota, Metazoa, Chordata, Amphibia, Anura, Bombinatoridae.